AGAACGAACGCUGGCGGCAUGCCUAAUACAUGCAAGUCGAACGAACUCUUCGGAGUUAGUGGCGCACGGGUGCGUAACGCGUGGGAAUCUGCCCCUUGGUUCGGAAUAACAGUUGGAAACGACUGCUAAUACCGGAUGAUGACGAAAGUCCAAAGAUUUAUCGCCAAGGGAUGAGCCCGCGUAGGAUUAGCUAGUUGGUGAGGUAAAGGCUCACCAAGGCAACGAUCCUUAGCUGGUCUGAGAGGAUGAUCAGCCACACUGGGACUGAGACACGGCCCAGACUCCUAGGGAGCAGCAGGUAGGGAAUAGUUGGACAAGUGGGACGAAAGCCUAGAUCCAGCAAUGCCGCGUGAGUGAUGAGUCGUUAGGUUGUAAGUCUCUUUACCGAGUAUGAUAAUGACAGUAGU
This 407-nucleotide ribosomal RNA is filed under the name uncultured soil bacterium. Its description in RNAcentral is "bacterial SSU rRNA". It matches the Rfam family "Bacterial small subunit ribosomal RNA", at positions 26 to 461 of the family's 1533-position model. The record is from RNAcentral.